GACCGCGUAGCUCAGUUGGCGGAGCAUUGGUCUAGUAUUCCAAAGGUCGUAGGUUCUUUUCCCACCGUGGCCG
RNAcentral lists this transfer RNA (73 nucleotides) under Paramuricea clavata. It matches the Rfam family "tRNA". From Rfam's summary of the family: Transfer RNA (tRNA) molecules are approximately 80 nucleotides in length. Their secondary structure includes four short double-helical elements and three loops (D, anti-codon, and T loops). Lineage: Eukaryota; Metazoa; Cnidaria; Anthozoa; Malacalcyonacea; Plexauridae. The record is from Rfam by way of RNAcentral.